UACGGACAUAUCACGUUGAAGCUCCGGUUCUCGGGAGAUCACUGAAGUUAAGAACGUCAAGCCUGGUCAGUACCUAGAUGGGUAACCGCUUGGGAAUGUCAGGUGCUGUAA
Molecule: non-coding RNA, 111 nt
Organism: Acanthosepion pharaonis
Lineage: Eukaryota; Metazoa; Mollusca; Cephalopoda; Sepiida; Sepiidae
Source: the annotation of a GenBank genome assembly